This 534-nucleotide long non-coding RNA is filed under the name Meriones unguiculatus (Mongolian gerbil). RNAcentral describes it as "lncRNA (ENSMUGG00000002015.1)". Lineage: Eukaryota; Metazoa; Chordata; Mammalia; Rodentia; Muridae. The record is from RNAcentral.
AGACACUGUGCUUGCUAAAAGGCAGUGUCAUAAGAUGGAGACCCCACAGCAUCCCAGAAAAACAGCUGUUUUGUGAAGACAAAUUUCCUGGUUAAUGCAUACAAACAGUCAAAUGCCUAGGAUACCAUGCCGUCCACACUGACACACUUCUGUUCUCACAUCAAGUGCUCUUUAAUGAUCUCCAAGCCUUUCCUACUAACACCUCCAGACCUCACUUCCUCUCACUACAGGAACAUUGCUGGUGACGAAUGGGUGUGAGGCAUGGUUUUUUAUCUCUGAGAAGCUUGAGUAAGCAGCCCUGUGAGUGAACAAAUGACAUCACCUGAAGAAGUGGGUGUAAUGAUGAGGAAAGCAGAGGGAUACCAAAGAGCAGAGGAAUGAAAGCUACUGUCCUAGAAAGCUCUCCAGAACUGCACUCACUCUGAGGCAGAUGCUCCACAAACAGCAGUGCCUGUACCGGCUUCAUCUCAAUUGGCAGUUGCACCCAGUAGCAUGCUUGGCUUGAGCACCAUUACCCACAUCCUUGCGCCUUUG